AUUGAACGCUGGCGGCAUGCCUUACACAUGCAAGUCGAACGGUAACGCGAGGCAACCUGGCGACGAGUGGCGAACGGGUGAGUAAAGCAUCGGAACGUGCCCAGUAGUGGGGGAUAGCCCGGCGAAAGCCGGAUUAAUACCGCAUACGACCUAAGGGGGCAAGGGGGGGAUCGCAAGACCCCUCGCUAUUGGAGCGGCCGAUGUCAGAUUAGGUAGUUGGUGGGGUAAAGGCCUACCAAGCCGACGAUCUGUAGCUGGUCUGAGAGGACGACCAGCCACACUGGGACUGAGACACGGCCCAGACUCCUACGGGAGGCAGCAGUGGGGAAUUUUGGACAAUGGGCGCAAGCCUGAUCCAGCCAUGCCGCGUGCGGGAAGAAGGCCUUCGGGUUGUAAACCGCUUUUGUCAGGGAAGAAAUCCUUUGGGUUAAUACCUCGGGGGGAUGACGGUACCUGAAGAAUAAGCACCGGCUAACUACGUGCCAGCCGCCGCCGUAA
RNAcentral lists this ribosomal RNA (498 nucleotides) under uncultured bacterium. RNAcentral describes it as "partial 16S ribosomal RNA". It matches the Rfam family "Bacterial small subunit ribosomal RNA", at positions 29 to 523 of the family's 1533-position model. The record is from RNAcentral.